Molecule: ribosomal RNA, 379 nt
Filed under: uncultured bacterium
Lineage: Bacteria
Description: bacterial SSU rRNA
Rfam family: Bacterial small subunit ribosomal RNA
Source: RNAcentral
UAACACGUAGGGGGCGAGCGUUGUCCGGAUUUAUUGGGCGUAAAGAGCUCGUAGGCGGUUUGGCAAGUCGGGUGUGAAAUUUCGAGGCUCAACCUCGAAACGCCACUCGAUACUGCCAUGACUGGAGUCCGGUAGAGGAGUGCGGAAUUCCUGGUGUAGCGGUGAAAUGCGCAGAUAUCAGGAGGAACACCAACGGCGAAGGCAGCACUCUGGGCCGGUACUGACGCUGAGGAGCGAAAGCGUGGGGAGCAAACAGGAUUAGAUACCCUGGUAGUCCACGCCGUAAACGUUGGGCACUAGGUGUGGGGGGCUGUCAACGCCCUCCGUGCCGUAGCUAACGCAUUAAGUGCCCCGCCUGGGGAGUACGGCCGCAAGGCUA